GACGAACGCUGGCGGCGUGCUUAACACAUGCAAGUCGAACGGAAAGGCCCUGCUUGCAGUGUGCUCGAGUGGCGAACGGGUGAGUAACACGUGGGUGAUCUGCCCCUUAUUUUGGGAUAAGCCUGGGAAACUGGGUCUAAUACUGGAUAGGACCAUGCUGCAGGUGGUGUGGUGGAACGAUUAGUUUCGGUAAGGGAUGAGCUCGCGGCCUAUCAGCUUGUUGGUGGGGUAAUGGCCUACCAAGGCGUCGACGGGUAGCCGGCCUGAGAGGGUGGACGGCCACAUUGGGACUGAGAUACGGCCCAGACUCCUACGGGAGGCAGCAGUGGGGAAUAUUGCACAAUGGGCGCAAGCCUGAUGCAGCGACGCCGCGUGGGGGAUGACGGCCUUCGGGUUGUAAACUCCUUUCAGCCAUGACGAAGCCCUUGUGGUGACGGUAGUGGUAGAAGAAGCACCGGCUAACUACGUG
RNAcentral lists this ribosomal RNA (469 nucleotides) under uncultured bacterium. RNAcentral describes it as "partial 16S ribosomal RNA". It matches the Rfam family "Bacterial small subunit ribosomal RNA", at positions 28 to 507 of the family's 1533-position model. The record is from RNAcentral.